AUGACCUCCAAACAGGUGGUGUAUAUGAAUCAAGGUCAAGGGGAAACAAGCUAUGCUCGCAACUCCGGUAUUCAGAAUGCUGAGCAAAAGAGGUUGAAGCCGAUGAUAGAAGCAGCCGUUGCUGAGUUAUGCAGCAGCACAAGCACCAGCGCCUUAUUGCCAACGAAGAUUGUGGUUGCCUACCUGGGGUGCUCCUCCGGUCCAAAUGUGCUAGCACUGGUGUCGACCGCCAUCGACGCCAUCCACAGUCACUGCUUCCAGUUCUUACAGCGACCACCAGAAGCUCAACGACCUGCCUGA
RNAcentral lists this ribosomal RNA (300 nucleotides) under Triticum aestivum (bread wheat). RNAcentral describes it as "partial small subunit ribosomal RNA". Lineage: Eukaryota; Viridiplantae; Streptophyta; Magnoliopsida; Poales; Poaceae. The record is from RNAcentral.